GCGAGUGUAGCCAAGUGGUUAAGGCAGUGGUUUGUGGUACCACCAUUCGAGGGUUCAAGUCCCUUCAUUCGCCC
RNAcentral lists this transfer RNA (74 nucleotides) under Chroococcus sp. FPU101. Its description in RNAcentral is "tRNA-His". It matches the Rfam family "tRNA". From Rfam's summary of the family: Transfer RNA (tRNA) molecules are approximately 80 nucleotides in length. Their secondary structure includes four short double-helical elements and three loops (D, anti-codon, and T loops). The record is from RNAcentral. Lineage: Bacteria; Bacillati; Cyanobacteriota; Cyanophyceae; Chroococcales; Chroococcaceae.